UACGUAGGGGGCAAGCGUUGUCCGGAAUGACUGGGCGUAAAGGGAGUGUAGGCGGCUCAUCAAGUUAGAUGUGAAAUCCCGCGGCUUAACCGCGGAACUGCAUCUAAAACUGGUAAGCUGGAGUGCAGGAGAGGUGAGUGGAAUUCCUAGUGUAGCGGUGGAAUGCGUAGAUAUUAGGAGGAACACCAGAGGCGAAGGCGACUCACUGGACUGUAACUGACGCUGAGGCUCGAAAGCGUGGGGAGCAAACA
This 251-nucleotide ribosomal RNA is filed under the name uncultured bacterium. RNAcentral describes it as "partial 16S ribosomal RNA". It matches the Rfam family "Bacterial small subunit ribosomal RNA", at positions 524 to 774 of the family's 1533-position model. The record is from RNAcentral.